RNAcentral lists this ribosomal RNA (475 nucleotides) under uncultured Magnetococcus sp. RNAcentral's name for it is "bacterial SSU rRNA". It matches the Rfam family "Bacterial small subunit ribosomal RNA", at positions 79 to 587 of the family's 1533-position model. The record is from RNAcentral. Lineage: Bacteria; Pseudomonadati; Pseudomonadota; Magnetococcia; Magnetococcales; Magnetococcaceae.
UUCGGGACGCUGGCGAGUGGCGAACGGGUGCGUAACGCGUGGAAACCUGCCCCGAGGUGUGGGACAACAGUUGGAAACGACUGCUAAUACCGCAUAAGCCUUACGAGGGAAAGGCGCAAGUCGCCUUGGGAGGGGUCCGCGUCGGAUUAGCUAGUUGGUGGGGUAAAGGCCUACCAAGGCGAUGAUCCGUAGCUGGUCUGAGAGGAUGAUCAGCCACACUGGGACUGAGACACGGCCCAGACUCCUACGGGAGGCAGCAGUGGGGAAUACUGCGCAAUGGGAGAAAUCCUGACGCAGCGAUACCGCGUGGGUGAAGAAGGUCUUCGGAUUGUAAAGCCCUUUCAGCAGGAAAGAUGAUGACGGUACCUGCAGAAGAAGCCCCGGCUAACUCCGUGCCAGCAGCCGCGGUAAUACGGAGGGGGCGAGCGUUGUUCGGAAUGACUGGGCGUAAAGGGCGCGUAGGCUGCUCUGCAAG